RNAcentral lists this ribosomal RNA (253 nucleotides) under uncultured bacterium. RNAcentral's name for it is "partial 16S ribosomal RNA". It matches the Rfam family "Bacterial small subunit ribosomal RNA", at positions 524 to 776 of the family's 1533-position model. The record is from RNAcentral.
UACGAGGGGGGCAAGCGUUGUUCGGAAUUAUUGGGCGUAAAGGGCGCGUAGGCGGUGCGGUAUGUCUCCUGUGAAAUCUCUAGGCUCAACUUAGAGUCUGCAGGAGAAACUGCCGUGCUUGAGUGCUGGAGAGGUGAGUGGAAUUCCCGGUGUAGCGGUGAAAUGCUUAGAUAUGACACAGAACACCGAUUGCGAAGGCAGCUAGCUAAACUGUAACUGACGCUGAGGCACGAAAGCGUGGGUAGCAAACAGG